ACGGGAGUGGCAAGCGUUAUCCGGAAUUAUUGGGCGUAAAGCGUCCGCAGGCGGCCCUGUAAGUCUGUUGUUAAAGCGUGGAGCUCAACUCCAUUUCAGCGAUGGAAACUACAGGGCUUGAGUGUGGUAGGGGCAGAGGGAAUUCCCGGUGUAGCGGUGAAAUGCGUAGAUAUCGGGAAGAACACCAGUGGCGAAGGCGCUCUGCUGGGCCAUAACUGACGCUCAUGGACGAAAGCCAGGGGAGCGAAAGGG
Molecule: ribosomal RNA, 252 nt
Filed under: uncultured bacterium
Lineage: Bacteria
Description: partial 16S ribosomal RNA
Rfam family: Bacterial small subunit ribosomal RNA
Source: RNAcentral